ACGUAACCUACGGUGUCCCGCUAGGAAAGAGAGGUGCGUCAAACAGCGACAAGUUCCGCCCACGUAAAAGAUGACGCUUGGUGCGUCAGCCGUCCCUGCUGCCCGGUUGCUUCUCUUUGGGGGCGGGGUCUAGCAAGAGCAGGUGUGGGUUUAGAAGAUAUCUCCAGCGCAUUUGGAUAAUGUGACAGUUGGAAUGCAGUGAUGUCAACUCUUUGCCCACCGCCAUCUCCAGCUGUUGCCAAGACAGAGAUUGCUUUAAGUGGCGAAUCACCUUUAUUAGCAGCUACUUUUGCUUACUGGGACAAUAUUCUUGGUCCUAGAGUAAGGCACAUUUGGGCUCCAAAGACAGAACAGGUACUUCUCAGUGAUGGAGAAAUAACUUUUCUUGCCAACCACACUCUAAAUGGAGAAAUCCUUCGAAAUGCAGAGUGUGGUGCUAUAGAUGUAAAGUUUUUUGUCUUAUCUGAAAAGGGAGUGAUUAUUGUUUCAUUAAUCUUUGAUGGAAACUGGAAUGGGGAUCGCAGCACAUAUGGACUAUCAAUUAUACUUCCACAGACAGAACUUAGUUUCUACCUCCCACUUCAUAGAGUGUGUGUUGAUAGAUUAACACAUAUAAUCCGGAAAGGAAGAAUAUGGAUGCAUAAGGAAAGACAAGAAAAUGUCCAGAAGAUUAUCUUAGAAGGCACAGAGAGAAUGGAAGAUCAGGGUCAGAGUAUUAUUCCAAUGCUUACUGGAGAAGUGAUUCCUGUAAUGGAACUGCUUUCAUCUAUGAAAUCACACAGUGUUCCUGAAGAAAUAGAUAUAGCUGAUACAGUACUCAAUGAUGAUGAUAUUGGUGACAGUUGUCAUGAAGGCUUUCUU
This 861-nucleotide small RNA is filed under the name Pan troglodytes (chimpanzee). RNAcentral's name for it is "processed transcript". Lineage: Eukaryota; Metazoa; Chordata; Mammalia; Primates; Hominidae. The record is from RNAcentral.